GGCGAACGCUGGCGGCAGGCCUAACACAUGCAAGUCGAACGGUAACAGGCCGCAAGGUGCUGACGAGUGGCGAACGGGUGAGUAAUGCAUCGGAACGUGCCCAGUCGUGGGGGAUAACGCAGCGAAAGCUGUGCUAAUACCGCAUACGAUCUGUGGAUGAAAGCGGGGGACCGAAAGGCCUCGCGCGAUUGGAGCGGCCGAUGUCAGAUUAGGUAGUUGGUGGGGUAAAGGCUCACCAAGCCAACGAUCUGUAGCUGGUCUGAGAGGACGACCAGCCACACUGGGACUGAGACACGGCCCAGACUCCUACGGGAGGCAGCAGUGGGGAAUUUUGGACAAUGGGCGCAAGCCUGAUCCAGCAAUGCCGCGUGCAGGAAGAAGGCCUUCGGGUUGUAAACUGCUUUUGUACGGAGCGAAAAGGCUCUCUCUAAUACAGGGGGCUCAUGACGGUACCGUAAGAAUAAGCACCGGCUAACUACGUGCCAGCCGCCGCAGUAA
RNAcentral lists this ribosomal RNA (498 nucleotides) under uncultured bacterium. RNAcentral's name for it is "partial 16S ribosomal RNA". It matches the Rfam family "Bacterial small subunit ribosomal RNA", at positions 28 to 523 of the family's 1533-position model. The record is from RNAcentral.